ACAUGCCUACAACAUAGAGUUAAUGCAUCAAAUCCCAUUAGAACUCCGCAGUUAAGCACGCUCGGGCUAGAGUAGUACUGGGAUGGGUGACCACCCGAGAAGUCCUAGUGCUUUACAUGCC
This is a non-coding RNA of Picea glauca (white spruce), 121 nucleotides long. The record is from Rfam. Lineage: Eukaryota; Viridiplantae; Streptophyta; Pinopsida; Pinales; Pinaceae.